AAAUUGAAGAGUUUGAUCAUGGCUCAGAUUGAACGCUGGCGGCAGGCCUAACACAUGCAAGUCGAACGGUAACAGGAAGCAGCUUGCUGCUUCGCUGACGAGUGGCGGACGGGUGAGUAAUGUCUGGGAAACUGCCUGUUGGAGGGGGAUAACUACUGGAAACGGUAGCUAAUACCGCAUAACGUCGCAAGACCAAAGG
This 199-nucleotide ribosomal RNA is filed under the name Escherichia coli. Its description in RNAcentral is "partial 16S ribosomal RNA". It matches the Rfam family "Bacterial small subunit ribosomal RNA", at positions 1 to 207 of the family's 1533-position model. Lineage: Bacteria; Pseudomonadati; Pseudomonadota; Gammaproteobacteria; Enterobacterales; Enterobacteriaceae. The record is from RNAcentral.